This 389-nucleotide ribosomal RNA is filed under the name uncultured bacterium. Its description in RNAcentral is "bacterial SSU rRNA". It matches the Rfam family "Bacterial small subunit ribosomal RNA", at positions 30 to 420 of the family's 1533-position model. The record is from RNAcentral.
AUUGAACGCUGGCGGAAUGCUUUACACAUGCAAGUCGAACGGCAGCACGGGGCAACCUGGUGGCGAGUGGCGAACGGGUGAGUAAUACAUCGGAACGUGCCCAAUCGUGGGGGAUAACGUAGCGAAAGUUACGCUAAUACCGCAUACGAUCUACGGAUGAAAGCGGGGGAUCGCAAGACCUCGCGCGAAUGGAGCGGCCGAUGUCAGAUUAGGUAGUUGGUGGGGUAAAGGCUCACCAAGCCAACGAUCUGUAGCUGGUCUGAGAGGACGACCAGCCACACUGGAACUGAGACACGGUCCAGACUCCUACGAGAGGCAGCAGUGGGGAAUUUUGGGACAAUGGGCGCAAGCCUGAUCCAGCCAUUCCGCGUGCAGGAUGAAGGCCUCGG